RNAcentral lists this ribosomal RNA (469 nucleotides) under Scyllarides nodifer (ridged slipper lobster). Its description in RNAcentral is "partial 12S ribosomal RNA". The record is from RNAcentral. Lineage: Eukaryota; Metazoa; Arthropoda; Malacostraca; Decapoda; Scyllaridae.
UAAACUAGGAUUUAGAUACCCUAUUAUACUAUAAUUAAAAACGAUUUAGUGUUAAAGCUAGAGUAGUAAGAAUUAAUUGGUUUAAAAUUCAAAGAGUUUGGCGGUAUUUUAGUCCUGUUAGAGGAACCUGUUUUAUAAACGAUAAUCCUCGUAGAAUCUUUCUUACUCUUGUUAAGUUAGUAUACCUUCAUUAUUAGAUGAUUUUUUUUUGAUAUAAAUCAUUGUAGUUGAUAUGAAAUCAAAGAUAUUAGAUCGCGGUGCUGCUAAUGGGUAAGUAUAAAUGGGUUACAAUGACAUUGAGAUUAAACGGAUUUAUUAAUGAAAAUAAUAAUAAAGGUGGAUUUAAUUGUAAUGUAGGUUUAAUAAGCUUAUAUGAGAUAGGCUCUAAAAUGUGUACAUAUUGCCCGUCGCUUUCAUUACUUUAGAUGAGAUAAGUCGUAACAUAGUAGAUGUACUGGGAAAGUGCAUA